Molecule: long non-coding RNA, 9909 nt
Filed under: Olea europaea (common olive)
Lineage: Eukaryota; Viridiplantae; Streptophyta; Magnoliopsida; Lamiales; Oleaceae
Description: long non-coding RNA (OEUR_LNC010780)
Source: RNAcentral
UCAAGGACCAAUUUGUCAAUGUCUAAAAGUUCAGGGACUUGUGUUGCAAUUUCGCAAUAAUUAAUGUAUAGGUCUAGGGUAAAGUUGGAUGCUUUGAAGAUGAAAACGGCUCAAGAUUGGUGCUAGAGUUUCGCCCUGACCUCGCUCGAGCCUAAAUAACAGAACCUACGUCGCUGGAGUUUCGCUACCACUUCGCUCGAGCGAGAGUGCGUUGCUAGAGUUUCGGCGACACUUAGCUCGAGCGACAGUGUCAUCCGGCGUUUGGUAAUUUUCCUUCCUUGCGAAUUUUGAACACUCCAUACUACCAAAAACGACCUAGUAUAUAAACAAAAAUUUCGCUUCUCAUUAACAACCUUUGGCAAAACACAUAGCACAAUAUUUUCCUCUCUACCAAAGGAUCAAUUGCAAAACUCUUCACCAUAUGAUUCAUUGAAGGGAAAAAAAAACAUCAAACACCUUUUCAAACAAAACACCUAUCAAAAAUCCUCACUACUUCCAGAAGAUCAGUUGAUUGAAGAUCCGGGAAGGAGGUUGAUUGAAGAACUGGAUUUCUUGUUGAUUCACGGGAAAUAGAAGAAACACAAGGCUGGGAUUUUGGCGCAGAUCUGCAGAAUCCAGGAGAGCUUUGGUUGAUACAGUAAGGAGGUCAGAGUGUUGUUAGAUACAGUCAUGUCUGGCAUACUGUAAGUUGGAGUCUUCUAUAGUGAAUCCCUGCUGGCUUGUGCCCGGAGUUUUUACCCAGUUGGAUUUUCUCCGUCAACAAUUUUUGUGUUAUUUAUUGCUUCUGUCAAUUUCAAUUCAACCGGCAAUUCAACAUAGGUAGUUAAAUCAAGUGAAUGAAUCUGGACAACGUUUAAUUUAUGUGACUUGUUGCAUAACUUAAUUAAAUUGUUAAAUUCCGCAUAGACACCUAUUCACCCCCCUCUAGGUGUUGGUUGGGUCGAACUAUAGCCUUUUCAAGUGGUAUCAGAGCCAAAUCUCGAGUCCUGACCCAUAGUUGUCUAGAUGAGUCAAUCACUUUCUGUACCUCCGUACUUUGACGGAAGUAAUUAUGCUUACUGGAAGGUUAGAAUGCGUGCGUUUCUUAAGUCCUUAGAUGAGCACGUUUGGUUGAGUGUGCAAAAUGGCUGGAAACCUCCCUCCACUAUCGUAUCAGGAACUGUUAACCUUACUGAUAUAUCACUGUAGACUAAGGAUGAGAUAGCUGAGUGUAAUUAGAAUAGCAAGGGACUUCAUGCCUUGUUUAUGGCCGUGUCUCCCGAAGAUUUUUGGAGAGUGUCAAUGUGGGAAAUUGCUAAAGAGGUGUGGGAUAUUCUUGAAACUACACAUGAGGGAACUAAAAUGGUAAAGAACUCGAAAUUACAAAUGCUAGCUUCUAGGUUUGAAGAAGUGAGGAUGAAAGAUGACGAAACCUUUGAUGAAUUUUAUGCAAAAUUGAAUGAUAUUGUUAAUUCUAGUUUCAAUUUAGGCGAGAAAAUUCCCGAGUCUAAAAUUAUUAGAAAAGUACUUAGGUCCUUGCCCGAGAGAUUUAGGCCUAAAGUUACUGCCAUUGGGGAAAGUAAGGAUCUAGAUGAAGUUAAAAUUGAAGAACUUGUAGGAUCCUUGCAAACUUAUGAACUCACUAUCACACAACCUAAGAAAGGAAAGUUCAUUGCUUUAAAAUCCAUCAAAGAGGAUGAAUCUUCCGAUACUGAGUCUCUGAGGGACGAUGAAAUUGCUUACUUUGUGAAGAAAUUUCAAAAGGCUCUCAAGAAUAGGAGAAAGCCUCAGGAUAGAAAAAGUGGAGUCCCUAGCAGAUUCUCAAAAGAAAAAACUGAAAGGUUUAACAAUAAAAGUUCUAGUGAUAAACCACGUUUGGUUAGGUGCCAUGAAUGUCAAGGUAUAGGUCACUAUAGGAAUGAGUGCCCUAGUUAUAAGAAGAAUCAAAGAAAAUGGCAGGGUAAGGCCUUAGCCGUUUCAUUUACUGAUAACGAGUCUGAGACCAGUGAUAGGCAGGAGUCAUCUAGUAGUGAAGAUAAAGGGAACUAUAUGGCAUUUGUGUCGACUAUUAAGAGUGAAUCUGAUAAGGAGAGUGACAAGGUUGAAGAAGAACUUUACAACAAUAAUUCUAGUAAUGAGGAUGAGGAUGACAUAAACAUACAUGAGGCCUACCAACUCUUGUUCAAGGAGAGUCUUAAAAUCAAAAAGAUCAAUAAAGCCCUACUCAAAAAGGUUGAUGAACUUGAAAGAGAAAAAGAGAAACAUGCUAGUAAUCUCCAGAAUUCACUUAAGAGUGCCAGUGAGUUAAAAUGUGUCAAUGAGAAGUUGGAAGACAAGGUUAAGACAUUAACUAGUGAAUUGGAAAAAUCUAAUGCUCAUCUUCAGACUUUCAUAAGUGGAACUAAGAAAUUGGAUGAUAUUUUAGGAAUGAAUAAGCCUACGGGAGAUAGGAAAGGUCUAGGAUUUGUUGAGGGUAAUACACAUGGUGCUGGUCCAUCUAAAACUGUAUUCAUUUCUGCCUCUAGGAAGUCUAACGCUGUCAACAGUCCAAAUAAGGAUAAGAAUGUUUCGAGGGAACAAAGUCAUCAAUCAUGUAGAAAUUUUAUGCCCAAACACCCACAGACAUGUACCUUUGAGCCUAGCUUCAUUCCCACCUAUCACCACUGUGGAGCUCUAGGACACACUAGGCCUAGAUGUUAUAAGUUAGGCAAUGAGCGUAGAAAUCAGAAUAUUCCAAGUCAGGUCAGUUUUCUGACUAAUCAAGUUAGUCAUUUGACUGAGAUGCUUACUAGGCUGACUAGGAUUACCACGUCAUCUAAGAAAGUUUGGGUUAAAAAGGAGGAUCUAGCUGGACUUUCAGGUCAGGUAAAUUGCUAUGGUGCUCAUGUUGCAUUAAAAGCCCAAGAUUUCAAUAUGUGGUACCUUGAUAGUGCUUGUUCUAGGCAUAUGUGUGGUAACAAGGCUUUAUUCACUACUCUUGAUGAAUGCAAUAGGGGUAUGGUUACCUUUGAAGAUGGGGGCUCUGCACCUAUUUUUGGCAAAGGUACUAUACAAAUACAUGGAUUACCUGUGAUCUCAAAUGUGCUUUAUGUGGAAGGUUUAAAGUCGAACUUGUUAAGUAUUAGUCAGAUUUGUGAUGCUAGUUUUGAGGUUAGCUUUGUGGAAAAGAGAUGUACCGUGUAUGAUUCAUUCAGUGGGGGUGGUCCUUGAAGGGGUUAGAACGUCUGAUAACUGUUAUGGAGUCCUACCUAAUUCUAACUAUGUGUGUAGGAGUGCAAAAAUUGAUGUGAGUGAACUCUGGCAUAAAAGAUUGGGUCAUUUAAACUGUAAGAGUCUAGUACAACUGGCUAAAAAGGAGUUGGUAGAUGGUUUGCCUAAAAUAGGUCCUAGUGAAAAUGUUGUGUGUGGACCAUGUCAACUGGGUAAACAAAUUAAAGGAAUCCAUAAAAAGACUUCUAAAAUUUUGACCAAAAGACCACUGGAAUUGAUACACAUGGAUUUAAUGGGACCAUCUAGGACUGAGAGUCUAGGAGGUAAGCGGUAUAUUCUGGUUGUGGUUGAUGAUUUCUCGAGGUUCACAUGGGUAGAACUGCUUAGGGAAAAAUCUGAUGCAUGUGACCUUAUAAAAUCUUUGUGUAAACGGCUUAGUAAUGAACUCAAUCACAAAGUGUCCAGAAUGCGAAGUGAUCAUGGAAAAGAGUUUGAAAAUUUCAAUCUUGAGAGCUUCUGCAUGGAUGAAGGGAUACUACAUGAGUUCUCUUCCCCUAUCACUCCUCAACAAAAUGGGGUGGUUGAAAGGAAGAAUCAUGUUCUUCAGAACAUGGCUAGAGCCAUGCUUCAUGACAAGGGGCUAUCCUUACAUUUUUGGGGAGAAGCUGUUAAUACUGCAUGCCACAUAAUCAAUAGACUCUACUUUAGACCCAAAACCGAUCAGACUCCAUAUGAGAUUCUAAAGGGUAAAAAGCCUAUUGUCAAAUACUUUCGUGUGUUUGGGAGUAAGUGCUACAUUUUGCAUGAUAGAGAGAACUUGAGUAAGUUUGAAUCUAAGAGUGACGAAGGAAUCUUCUUAGGGUAUUCUAGAAAUAGUCGAGCAUUCUGAGUAUAUAACUCACGUACUCGUACUGUGAUGGAGUCAGUCAAUGUUGUGAUAGAUGAUGGUGUGAGUGAAGGGGAGAAUGUUGAAAAUUAUGAUAGAAAUGGUAAUCUUAUAAGGUCUAGUGAUCCUGCUGAACCGCUUCUGCCUGAAUCAUCUCUUAAAAUUCCUGAAACUCCUAAAAAGGAAACACAUCCACAAGAUCAAGACACAAUCCCUAAGGAACCAUCAACUAGGGUCAAGUCUAAUCAUCCUAAGGAUAAUAUCAUUGGGGAUCUGGAUAAAGGUAUGAGGCUUCGUAAGAGAGUACUGAACAAUCUAGCAUAUACUAGCUAUGUUUCAUAGGUAGAGCCUAAGAAAGUCGAAGAGGCCCUUAGUGAUGAGUUUUGGGUAAAUGCAAUGCAUGAGGAACUCAAUCAAUUUGCUAGAAACAAUGUGUGGAUCUUAGUACCCAGACCUGAGAAUUGUAACGUUAUUGGUACUAAGUGGAUCUUUAAGAACAAGACAGAUGACCAAGAUACUAUAACUAGGAAUAAGGCCAGAUUAGUUGCUCAGGGUUAUACUCAAGUUGAGGGAAUUGAUUUUGAUGAGACUUUUGCCCCUGUUGCACGACUUGAGUCUAUUCGGAUUCUGCUUGCUGUUGCCUGUACCUUAGGGUUCAAGCUACAUCAAAUGGACGUUAAGAGUACCUUCUUGAAUGGACUUCUUCAAGAAGAAGUCUAUGUGGAACAACCAAAAGGAUUUGUUGAUCCAAAGUUGAUCCAAAGUUUCCCCACUAUGUCUACAAACUCCACAAAGCACUCUAUGGUCUGAAACAAGCUCCUAGAGGUUGGUAUGAGAGACGUACGUCAUAUCUUGAGGAACAUGGUUUCUCUCGAGGUGGUGCUGAUAGGACCUUAUUUAUUAGACACAUUGAAGAAACUAUCACUAUCGCUCAAAUUUAUGUCGAUGACAUCAUUUUUGGUUCUCCUAUUGAGUCUCUAGCAAAUGAGUUUGCCGAGUGUUUGAAGCAAGAAUUUGAGAUGAGUAUGGUUGGUGAGUUGAGUUAUUUCCUUGGACUUCAGGUGAAAUAGAUUGAGGAUGGCUUGUUUAUUUCACGGUCUAAGUAUGCAAAGGAUCUAGUUAAGUGGUUUGGGUUAGAUAGUAAGAAGCAUACUAGGACACCUAUGAGUACUAGCUUGAAGUUAGGUCGUGAUCUUUCAGGUAAGAGUAUAGAUCCUUCCCUAUAUCGAAGCAUGAUAGGUAGUCUUCUCUAUCUCACAGCUACUAGACUUGACAUUGCUUUUAGUGUUGGAGUGUGUGCUCAAUUUUAGGCAGAUCCCAAAGAAUCACACUUAAGCUCUGUUAAACGCAUCAUUAGAUAUGUGAGUGGUACUGUUGAUCUAGGGAUUUUCUAUUCUAGAAAUUCUAAUCUUGAUUUGGCUGGCUACUCCGACGCCGAUUGGGCGGGGAAUGCAGAUGAUAGAAAAAGUACUUUUGGGGGCUGUUAGCAAUCUAGUAGCCUAGUUAAGUAAGAAACAAAAUUCCAUAUCCCUAUCCACGGCAGAGGCCGAAUACAUAGCAGUUGGAAGUUGCUGCACUCAGCUUCUCUGGAUGAAGCAGAUGCUGAGUGAUUAUGGGAUUAAUCAAGGGACCAUGACCGUUUUCUGUGAUAAUACCAGUGCUAUAAAUAUUUCUAAGAAUCCCAUUCAACAUUCUCGAACAAAACAUAUUGACAUACGACAUCAUUUUAUUCGUGAACUUGUUGAAACACAAGUUGUCUCCUUAGAUCAUGUUUCUACUGACAACCAAUUAGCCGAUCUACUUACGAAACCACUAGAUGGGAUGAGGUUUGAGUCGCUUCGGACGGCUGUUGGUAUUUUUUUGCCUAUUUGAUCAUGAAUUCAUGCAUAUUUAUGCAUUUAUCAUAUUUGCACUUAUUCAUUUCAUAUCUUGUAUGUGAUAAAUGUGUGUGUGGUGCAUUUUGUUUGUUAGUUUUUUUUUUGUUUUUAUUUUGAGUAUUAAGUUUGCAUUUGAAAUUUAAAAUUAAAAAAAAAAUUAAAAAAUAAAUAAAAUAAAUAAAUAAAUUUUUUGUGUGCAUCGUGUAUGACGUUAUGAUGUUUGCAUUCAGGAUCAAACUCUAUUUUUCAUCAUGUGUACGAGUCUGAGGUUUCAUCGUAAUUCUCACUUUCUGUGGAGUUCUUAGUAUACGGCUCGUCAUGAAUUUUCGCAUAGCACACACUGUAGUCCUGUAGGUGGGUCUUGACCGCAUGGGUGAGACUUGGGAUGGUAUUCUUCUGUGAUUGGGGUUGUUUGUCCAUUUGACUUGAUCUGUGACGAGUGUAACCUAAUCAAUAUUGUCUUUCCCCAUUUUCUACAUUAUUCUUUGAACUCAUUUCUGUCUUCGGAGCCUAUUUGACUCGAACAAUUAAGCUUUAGGGGUUUCUAACCUGGUGCCCUAUAGUCGUCUGGCUUAGGAGUCACCGGCCCAAAGUUCGUUACAUGGGUCAUUUCUGUCGCCUAAUGAAGAUAGGAUUGCACCUAAGUUCUUAUGUUAUAUAUAUAUAUAUAUAUAAUAAAAAAAUGGCAUACAGUUAGGAGGCAUAAAAUUGUGACAAUUAUACUGUUUGAUAUAGGUCCUCAUGGAAUUGGAUUUAACUGGCACUUGGUCAAUAUACACUCUUUUACAGUUAUUUUUAACGUGUCCUUUCUCACUAAUUUAAGGUUUUGAGUCUAACUUGCACGGACUACGUGGCACAUUUCACGCUGAUGUUUUGUAUAAAAUUUACUUCAUGGGAUUUUGAACUAUGUGUGGACUUAAGAUUUGUCUACAUGCUCUGAAUGUCGGGUUUGUGAGUUUGUGCAUAUUAUUCGUAUCGUCUACAUAUUUGGGUACAUGCUUUAUCAUCGAUUUUUUAGUUUGUCUUUACAAAAACAAAAAAUAAUAAUAAUACAUACAACUGAAAAUAAAAAUAAAAGUUUUUGGACCUAUUUUCGUUAGUUUCCAAAAUUGUGCUACUUUUCAUAAAUUUCAAAUGUUUGGUGCUAUGUUUGACAUUUCAUUUUCGCUCGAGUCUCGCCUGGACUUCGCUCGAGCGACAAAAGCAGAAAGGAUGUCGCUCGAGUUUUGCCCCGGUCUCGCUCGAGCGACAUAUAUAUUUAAAAUAUGGCUGUUUCAAUUUUUCGCACAUUUCAUCAUUUGUUUUCCUCCUCCUUCAAUUCUUUUCUUCUUCCAUCGAAAUUAUUCACUCCUAAUUCAUUUUUGGCCUCAAUUCGACAUCUUUAACACAAUCUUGGGUCUGAAACACUGACUUCUUGGCAAAAUCUUUAGGUAAUUCCCAACUUUCUUUGCUUUCAAUUUUUUUUGGUUUGUUUGAUUUCUUUUCUUGAUCAUUGUGUUGAUUUGUGUUAUUUGGCAUUACAUCUUGCUUGUACACAUGUUUUUGCAUCAAGUAUUGCUUUCCAUUUCCCAAAUUAUAGUGCAUUCCUAUGGUUUUCUUCACAUUUUUUAAGUUUUUGGUCCAUGUUCAUCAAUGUAGUUCUUGCACCUCGUUGAUUCGUUUGAUGUGUGGUUUGUUUGAUUGUGAAGUCUAUAGCAUGUAGUUUUUAUGGAUGUGUUUGGAUUUGUGAUUGGGUCUCGUAUGUGCUUGGAAUUUGGUGCCAAAGUCACGUACGCCACGUGUUCGAUAAAAGUUCACUUUUAUGCUUAUUUGGUUUCUUUUGAUUUUUUUAUUUCCUUCUUUUCCUUCGUUUCUUUCCUACUUGUUUGAGUGUCGUUGCAUGCCGUGUGUGUUUUCAUUCAUGUUUAUGUGAUUGGAUCAUAUGUGUUUCCGUGUGUGCAUCUUCUCAUAUCAUGUUGCAUCGUGAUGCGUGCAUUUCACAUUAUGCUUAUUCUUUUCAUCUCUGCAUGUGCCAGAUGGCUCGUAAGUGCUCUCGUACCUCUGCACAGCCCGCUAGUGGAUCGACAUCUUAUAGUAGAUCCUGAUUUAUUUCUGCUACAGCUCAGGAGGUCUUCACGUCUCAAUUCUCUUUACGCCCCGUUCUCAUGGAGUGUGAGGUAAUUCUAUCUGACCUUCCUGUUGACGUCGCCGCUAUUUUUGUUUCCCGGGGUUGGGAGCCCCUUCUUGUUGGUCUUACACCACUGCCUCCACUCUUCGUUCAAGAGUUUUAUGCUAAUAUUCAUGAGGUGGAUGGGUCGUCGUUUAGGAGUUUUCUUACAGGUCAUUUUUUUCGAGUUACUCCGUCUGUAGUAGCUCUUGCGUUAGGUAUACCUCAGAUUCCUCAUCCGACAUAUCCCUAUCUUCUCCCUGCUUCUCUUCCGGCCGAUGCCCUUGUUCGAUUGACUCUUUUGAACACCCCGUCUACUGGGGGGCCUACGGCUAUGGCCAUGGGUUCAUUACCCAAUGAUCAACAGGUUUUGUUGUGCAUCGUGUGCAAAAAACCUGUGGCCUGUUGCCCAUACUUCUUCUUUAUCGAUGGUACGGGCUCAUUUUCUAUAUUCCAUACUUUAUAGGGACUAUCGACCUUCCUACUUUUGUGUGCCAGCAGAUUCUAACUUCUUUUCGUACUCCUAGUGGUCAUUUAGGGUUACCUUAUGCCUGUUUGAUUCAUCAGGUUGUCCUUUCUCUUGGUGCAUCUUUCCCUGAGGGGUCUUCUACUCGUAUAGGUCGCCCGAUAGGACAGCAAACCAUUCACCAGAGUCGAUCCCAUGUCCCGUCCUCUUCGGCUCAUGCUGCCGCUUAGGCUGAGCCCGUUGAUGUUUUUGAUUUUUCGGAGCCCUUUGAUCCUAUUAUUGAUAUUCUUACUAGGGGUUCCCGUGUCUUUCUUUUGCCUCGUUCGAAUUUUUCUUCAGCUGUUUCGUUUCUAGCUACCUUUGCUUUGACAUCUACUUCUGCUCCAGGGGUGGCUUCCUUGCCUGUUGACCCUAUGGUGACGCUUAUGGGUCAGAUGUCUACUUUGGUCGCCGCAGCAGGCUCGUAUGAUGGCAGAGAUCACGUAGUUACGUGCUGUUUCGGAGCAUCAGUCUGCUGAGCUUUCUUCAUUUCAGCGUGCUCUAUCAGUGUGUCAGCGUCAGUUGCGUUGGAUUCAUGAUCGAUUGGAUGAGAGCUCGAGUGACAAGACUAGUGAUGAGUCACCGAGUGCGGGUGGUGCUGCUUCUUAGUUUUAGUUUUAGUUUUUGAUCCUUUGUCAUUUGUGACAAAAAGGGGGAGUAGAUAGUUUAAUCUCAAUUUAACUGUGAUAUAUUGGAUUAACUGUGAUAUAACUGUGGUUUGAUAUCUAUUUAAUGACUAGAUUAAGUUUUGAUAUUUUAGCAAUAUUGAUGUAUGUUUUUGGUGUUUUUUUGACUUACAUUACUAUUGCUUCUUAAUCUGGUUAAUUACAUAUGCACUAUUCCUUGUUUUAUCUACUGUUUCCAUUUCACGUGCAUUUACACUUGGUAUUGAGUUUCUAUAUUUCAGGAAACAGGUUCGACAGGAGAUAGUUGCUUUGGUUGAAUGAAUAGGUCGUUAGGAGUUACAUUUUUUUUGUGUCCUUGACCGUCUUGUGUAAUUUUGUCAUAGAAUACCAAAGGGGGAGUUUGUUAGGAAAAUGUUGUAAUUGCCAAUCUGUGACCAAAAGGACUAAUUUGUCGAGUUUGUAAAGUCAAGGACCAAUUUGUCAAUGUCCAAAAGUUUAGGGACUUGUGUUGCAAUUUGGAAAUAAUUAAUGUAUAGGUCUAGGGUAAAGUUGGAUGCUUUGAAGAUGAAAAUGGCGCAAGAUUGGUGCUAGAGGUUUGCUCUGACCUCGUUCGAGCCUAAAUAACAGAACCUGCGUCGCUGGAGUUUCGCCACCACUUCGCUCGAGUGAGAGUGCGUCGC